RNAcentral lists this microRNA (22 nucleotides) under Heliconius melpomene (postman butterfly). Its description in RNAcentral is "Hme-Mir-252-P1_3p* (star (passenger))". The record is from RNAcentral. Lineage: Eukaryota; Metazoa; Arthropoda; Insecta; Lepidoptera; Nymphalidae.
GCCGAACUACGUCUCCUUAUAC